GAGAUGGAUCAGGGCCUCCUUACUGUCUGAAGUCUCUGCUCUGCUUUACUUUCACCAUCUGGUUCCAGAGAAGCCAAUCCAAAUCAUUUACUGCAUAUCUUGCCUUGCCGUAAUUUACAUUUGGCAUCAGGAUGCAGCUGUACUGACUCUUCCCAAGAGCUCAGUCAUAGUUGAAGAUCCUUUGAGUCUGUACUGUGCAAACCUGAAAAAAAACACCUGAUUCCACCUCAUGGAGGUUUUAUCCACUGCCUUGGCACAAAAGUGCAAUGCAAGCUUUCUUUUGAAGUCCACUAGGAUUUCCUUAAAUUUAUGAUCAGAUAGUUGCAAGCAAUGAAAUUAUCAUCUCCCAUGUGAGAGGAGACAGCAUCCUGCACAGACCAUUUCCAGCAAAGGUUGUUUAAGACAACCCUUUUUAUUUUGCAGUGCAAGAUGCUGGAAGCACAGUAGCUUUGAAUUUCUUCAGUUCAGCUAAAGGAGGAGCUUGGCUUCUUUUCCAUAAUCUCCUUUCAGGCAGUGGAAGACAACAAACACCUCUUUAGCUUUCUCACCCCGCAGUUUGAACUUCCCCAGUGCUUUCAGCAUCUCUGCAUGUAGCAUGUGCUUCAGCACCCGAUCAUGCUGAUGGCCUUUGGCUGAGCUCUCCCUGGGAUGUCAGCAAACCAUGUUGCAUCUUGUUGGUGCCAUCAGCUAUGAGUGUGGACAUUUACUUUGGCCCAGAGAGAGGGGAAUAAGCUAUAUUCCAAAUAACCUCUGGACUAUGUACUUGAAUUAAAGAACAUAAAGGAGCGAGCAGCGCCAUGUAAGCAGCUGUGGACUGGCAUGAAGAUAGAUGGUGUCUGGGACGAGACGGGGCAAAAAGAAAAGAAGCAAAAGGUUUUUUCCAUUGCGGCAGAGCUCUGUCAUGGACGUGGCGUCGGGAGCUGUGGAGGCUGUGCCUGUGGGGAGGGUUGGUAUUUUAUUUGGCACCAAAGAAAAGAGCAGUCGGUAAAGGAAAGAGUUUGGAAAAAAUGCUUUAUACGUGCAAGACCGAUUAGCAAGGCAAGAGACAUGGCUGUGCAGCAGGUUUUCUGAGGAGAGGAUUCACAUCAAAACUAUUGGGUGUCUGUGACACUUUCGAAGAAAUAAAAUCACUUCAAGUGCAAUACACCAGCGGUCAAUGUGGAAAUGAACAAACUCACCACUGUGCUGUCCCAGGCUGGGCAGAGAGAAAUGGGCAAUUUUUUUUUCCCACGCAGAAUUCAGUGCACGUCUUCAUUGGAAGUGCCCCGCAGCCUCCCUGCUGCUGUCUGACCUUCCAGCCAGGGUACCUCUGCUAGAAAUUAACCCGAACCUCGAGGUGUGGCAAGAUCUCCUGAAGGAGUCAGAUGGGAAGGAUGAACCCAGUGUGGAAAGGGAAAAAAACACCCUUUGGCUGAACUGCCAAAUCUCUGAAGACUAAAAGUUCAGGCAGCCUUUCUCUGGGCAACAUGAGACCCACAACAGCCUGUUCCACCCAACAUUUUGUAUUCUGACCUUCACGAUCUUUGCUACAAAAGGAAAAAAAUUGUUAGUGGAGAAGAGGAAAAGCAGAGAAGGUUUUACCAGCCACCUUUUUCUUUUAUAAAGCAGGAGCUAUCUUUAAUCCCUUCUGUAGUGCUCUAAGCUUUUCCCCUGCUCCUGCAGAACACCGGAGUAUCUGCCUAAGUUUAAGGCUGCAAAUAACCCCCCUCACUGCAUUAUCCCUUUAAGGGACUGCAUUAUUCCCUUUAAGGGAAGCCACCUUAGACACCAGGGCUUUUUGUAGUGAAGUUCCAGCGAGUCCUGCUCCAGCGAAGUCCCCAGGCACACAAUGCUAUCUUCUCCUGACAUUCAUCAACCAUUGUAUAAGUCUCCAGGAAUCACAACCAGCUUAAAGAUCAGAGGAUUUUUCUUUACAAUUGCACAGUAUUCUAUUAUCUAGGCAUUAAUCUCCAAGCAGAUACCACCAGCAAAGAAAAAAGAUGACAUCAAAGCUAAGAAUGCUUUAAAACUACUGCGGGGGAAAAAAAUGGGUAGAAAAUACUUAUGAAAAAAUGUCCUGCGCUGCAGAAAAAGGAUCAUGAUGGAGAAUACAGGAGCAUGAUGGGUUCAGGGAAAUCACUUCAAGUACAUUAAAUUUUUAGAAAAUACUCAAAAGGUUGAGCAUCAGGGAAGAUGAUGACAGAAUGAUGGCAGACUUUCAGAGGAAUACUCCUUGUAUUCUGAAGAAGCGUAUAAAGGUAGAGAAGUAAUACUGGAAAUACAUAAAUAAAAAAAAGACAUCUUCCCAUUGCUCUUAAAAAUUUAUUGACAAAACAAAACAAUUGAGAAGCGUGCUGCCAAAAAGAAAGUUUCUUGUGUAAUGCCUGGGUCAGUACAGAAGGAGACCUGUGGAUUUCUGCAGGAAGGCUGGUUACAGACAUGCAAGCAAGGGUCAGUGAGGUCCAUCCAGCUCCAUGUCAUGUCUCUGAUGAGAGCAAGGGAAGGAUUCUUAGGAAGCAGUUUAACAACAGCGCCUGUACAGUCUGAUGCAGCUCUAGGUAUAUUCUCAUUUGUUUUCCAAGCUGGACAGUCCCUGGGUCAUUUGUCCUCUCUGUGUACUGUUAAUUAUCUGUCCUUCUCAGCCUUUUCUGCUCAUUUUCUAGGAUUACUACACAGUCUGUGAGAUGGGUGGUACUACCACUUGCUGUACUAAAGGCACCAGAGAGUCAAUGAAACUUGGUGAAAAGGAACAAGUGACUUCAAUUAGUCUUUGGAUCCAGCUUGCUUUUAUAUAAUAAAAUUGAAAGGUACAGUUGAUUUUCAGAGAGGUGAUUAACUCUAAUCAGGUAGGUAAGCAAUCCUAUUAAACCAACAAACUAUGGCAUGUCCCCGAGUGCCCUAUGAAUCAAUAGGUGUAAGUAUAUAAUUUAAAAGUUUUUAAUUAUUACUUUUUAAAUAUCUGGCCUAUUUAGGAUCUAAAAUGUGUAUGAUGAUAAAUGACUAGCUAGUCAAGUGCCCAUAAAAUGCAUUAAUGUCCCUGAGAAUGAUAAAUCUUCUUUAAAUGAAUAGAGGCUGACAAUCAAGGAUCAUGUGUUCUCCAGACCUUCUGAUAAAUGUUCUUUCUAUUAUUUCCAAUAGACUUUGAUACAUUAAACUGCCUAAUUUAUUCCCAGUAAUUUAUCUUGUUCUCUUGGGUAUCAGCUCCUCUCUUUCCAUAUUUUCUUCCAACAGAAACACCAAGUAGUUAUAUCAACAUCAGGAACAAUAAGAACAAUAAAAAUCAACUGGAAGGUACCAGCAGAUAUCACCUUUGCUCUCUCAACUCUGAUGCCAAAGCCCAAGGAGGUGGAAAUGGAAGACGAGCCCAUUUGCAGCAUGGGGAAUCUCUAGCUGGCUCCUUCUCAGGUGAAACACAGCGACCAGAGGAGAGCUCUUCCCAUUCUCUACCCAUGUCCAGGAAUGCAAAGUCACCCAGGCUCAGUUUCAACAUCUUGCCCUGCCUGCUGUAAUUACAGGGUUUGUGCCUAUCUCCUGCUGAGAGUGGAUGAAGGCUCAAGAGGGAGGAAAUCUGGGACUAUGCAGAACGUGCAGGAUAGGAGGGAGAUGUGACCCAAACUCUGGGGAUGAGUAGCCAGAGACAGAAUCACAGAGAAAAAAAUCCUUAUGCUGUUUCACCAAGGAUCUGCUACUUGUUGCUGUCACAUACAAAAUAGCAGCUAGGUGCCCAUGGCUUGCUAGAAGAGCCAUCAACACAGGGGACUAAGUCCACAGACUCCAGCUUGCAAAUCCUGUGCCCUGCCAGAAGAGAGCUGAAACAGAUACACGUCUGGCUGCUACCAGAAGGCUUCUCUCUCUAGGUUUGAACCCUGAUCUCUCUCUAUUUUUUGGAAUCACUGAAUUCGAAGCCAAGAUCCAAACACUGCUCAAACACUUGACAUUCAGAAGGGGGAAAUAUUCACAUUGAUGUGAUUUGAAAUGACAGCAAUUUAGAGUAGAGACUACAGUUGAUGAGAGAGUGAAGAUCCAGAUUUCACAGAAGGGAAAGAGAACAUCUAGUUACAAAAUGUGGAUUGCAUUCAGUGGAGAAGACCUUGCUCUCACACAACCCUGGAUAGCCUUGGACUGAGUUGCUUAAGGACUUCUGUUAAACACUUUGCUUUCCAAAGACCUUAAAACACGGUGUGCUACUGAGGAUUUUUCAAUCCCAGGUGAGUUUCCUGAUCUCUAGCUUGUCUAUUCACUUUAUAGCUUAAUGAAUCUUUAAAAGCUUUUCUUCUGAGUGGAACCAGUUCAAAAGGAGAGGAGGAGAUAACAUCUCUGCACAGCCUGUCAUGAGAGAGUGGUUGUGUGGCUUGAGGCCAAAUUCAUCACUCGUCUUCAGCAUGGCCUUCUGGGCUGGUCCUGGAGGUACUCAAUUGUUUCUCCGUGGGUAAAAACUUUGAAUAUAGCUUAUCCUUUAUGAUGUUCUCAAAGGAGCCUUUAUCUGCCUCAUAGAAGUGCCCCAGCAACUCUGUGCUUAACCCAACAUCCCUUGUGUCUUAAAUCUGAAUUUCUCGUGAGUGAGUAAAGUGGCUCAAAGUGCUCUCUAAAGGGCCCCAACAUCCCUGCCAAGGCCUUUGGCGCUGGAAAUAUCAGAAGUUAAGUGUACCCUAUGAGUUAAUCCGGCUCUUAUAAAGUGAAGAUCAUAUUAUAUAAUGAGCUUCAAAUGGGAAGACACCUGCUUUCCUGCCUGUAGCCUUGUUAAACUCAGUGGAGGUCCCUGCAUGUGGAAGUCACCAUCAUGUGCUAAGAAAAAGCCUCUUUGGCUGGAUCCCUUGUUAUUUAAGUACACUGCAGUCCCUAUUUAUGCAUCUCCAAGGUUGUUAUCUGAGCUGGCAUGGAAGGCUCAGUACAACUUCCAGUGAACUGGAAUCGCUGAAGUUCCGUGCCACUGAAACUAUCAGGAUUUUAAGCAGUGGAUAAGAUGGUGAGGUCUGGGUUUUGUCUGCUUAUUGCAUUUUUAUGAUUUUCUACCCAAUUUGAUGAAAUUACAGUAUUCAUAAUUGCAAGCAUUGUGGGUUAGUAUUUCUGCAUUCAUGUAAUUUACCAACUUUAAUGAAUAAAUAAGCACCUAACUGCUGUGGCAAGAGAUGCUCCCCAAAUCUUUUAAUAAUAAAUAAUACCGCCACAGUGGAGUGCUCAGAUUGGAACAACUGCCCUAUGUGUCAUUACACCCAUACAAUAAACCAUUUAAAACUGUUUUAAAUGCUUUCUGCCAUCACUGGUAGUGGUAUAAUAAUUUUAUAUGGUUCAUCUGCUGCAGUACUUAAUUUUCUUUAGUGCUUCUGGAAGGAGUGAUUAUUAUCACAAAAAAUGACUAUAACGGUAAGACUUAGAAACUAUAAGACUGUGUUAUUACAUGUUCAGUUUCCAUCGGGAAUUUCUCAGUCUAUAUGAAACUGGUUUGCAGUGGAAUGUCACUGUUUGUUCAACCCAUCACAUUUUUCAGCUGGAAAACCUUGUAGUUAGGUUCUGUUCAUCAUUGUUCCUUCUGUUGUAUGCUGUGCACAAAUGUCUUACAGACAAGGCGGGUGAAUUCAUGGGUUAUGCACCAUGGUACAUUAGACAUGUGGAGUUAGUCAUAUGCCUGCAUUACCAUGUCCAGGGCUCCUGCCCACUUGGCAUCAUUACUGACAGUACUCUCUGUGCCACACUGGCUUUAGCACUGUGAAAAGUUUACCUCUGAAAAGUUUCCUUUUGACAUUUUGGGACUAACUACUCCAAAAUAUUCACCAAACAAAAUGUAUUUUUUUUUAAUGUGAAGUUUUUUCAAAUGAAAUUCAGCCACUCAUUCUAGGUAACUGUAUCCAUUUAGAGUUGCACUAGACUUUAACAACUGCACUUGAAAUACUAAUUCAGUUCAGUGCUUCUGACUGUCCCUACAUUGCAGAGUCUGCAACUGAAUACAAAAGUAUGAGUAUUGAUUGAAAAAGUAACACAGAUAAUACAAAAUCUGUGUAAUUUGAAAAAAGUUCCUGGAGCCAUAUCACUUUUUGAGACAUCCUUGAAGACAAGAUGCUGCAUCUCAAGGACUUAUCUUCAGACUUGCUGCUUGGCAAAUUAAUCUUUUCAAUUGCUUUUCCUUGCUUGUCAGAUUUUUAUGCUGGUCUUUUCAGUAAAUGAGUUGUUUAUACAUAUCACCCUUCUGUUAGCUUUAAGUAGAUGUUUAAACUGUGAUACUAUUACAUUUUUUUUAAAGGGACUUGCAACUCUGGCAACUCCAUAGGGGUAGAAAGGAUUAAAACAGUAUUAGAGCAGAAAUGAUUAAGGGAAAGCUCUUCAGAGUGCACUUGUGUGUUCAAAGUGUGGGUGUCAUUAUGUUUAUUGAGAUGGCUGUUAACAAAGCAUCAGAAACACAGAAGCUGCGAGCAUCCUUACAGCCUUUUCUAGUGCCUGUUGCCCUCUGUGAGCACUCAAAAGCCAGCCAGGAGUCUGGGGAGCGAAGGCAACAUCCAAUCAGAUCCAUUUCAUGGACAAGUGCAGUACUUUGUUUUGAAAAAGCAAAAAUCAGCGAGCAUGACAAAGAACCAUUCCCAAACCUGCACCUGCCUCCUGAGCUGCAGGUAAGUACUUUGUCUAACGAGCAGAUGAGCAGCAGGAAAGCAGGAAGCCUGGUGUCAAUGCUGAGCAGUGUGAGAAGCAGAGGGCCUUCUGCUGGAGGAGCUAACAGAGCUAAGAGGUGAGAAGAGAUUUUUACUUGGGCUGUGCCACUCUGUUUGCUUCUCUAAGGGGCCUGCGAGGGAGACUUAGCAUUUCUGAGUGCAUUUUUGAGGAGCAUUUCUGCUCCUACUCUGAUGCUGAUCCUGAGUAGCCACACACUAGGUCCAUCAGCUCAGUCCAUCAUCUCCCCACCUCGCAGGGAAACACGGGAUCCUUUGCCUGCGGUGCUGUGGCUGUGCAGCAUUGCUGAGGCUGGAGCUGCUUUGUGCCCAGGAGCUGUGCACCCCUGCCCUCAGCUCGGCAGGCUGCCUGGCCCCUUCAACCUUGCUGCCACAGACCCAGAGAAGGCUUUUUGCUUUUCCAGCAGAGAAGCUGACAAAGCAAAUGUGCCUGGCAUCCUUCCGGGCUUGAAGGAAGAGCAGGCUGCCUAAUGGUCAUGCUUUCCAAGGGCUCUCCUGCUGCUUGCGAUGUGUUGUCCUUGGCUGCUGCACGCUGGGAGGAGGAGCUGGGAAGGCAGAGGGAAAGAAGAUCAGUUAAUGUGAAGUUAAUGGAAAGCAGGGCAGGGAAAAUGAGAUUGGAGGAGGGAGAUAAGAAGGGAUCUCCUGGGUCAUGGAAUACACUGCUGAGAUAGGCAAGCACAGUACAGAUCGAUUAAUUAAAAUGGGAGUAAUUAAAAACAAGUUAAUUAAAGAUUAAUUGAUUGAUAAAUAGUUACAUAAUUUGUGUGCACUAUAAUUAAUUGAUUAAUUAGAAACAACAUCUAUUUGUUAAAACAUAAUCAAAUUUUAGGUCUUGUUGGUGAGUUUGCUCUCACUGAUUUUUGUUGUUGUUCAUUCCUCUGUCUCGCCUCAUAAGUACAAACUUUCAAAAUUUUUCGUUUAAUUAAUUCAUGGUCACAUUAAGCCAGUUUAUUUUUGUUACCAUUUAGAGAGGAGUGUCUGUGUAUAGCCCAACUUGGUGUGGCAGCUCUGCCAGCUGUGCUUUGUGAUUGUGUUCAAUAUCUUGGUAGGUGUUUCCAGGCCAUGAAUGCCUGCCCUAAAACUCCUUGCAGCAUUUGACCUGCCAGCCUCUGAGUAGCAAGAUCUCAUUUAUUCAGCUGGCAUGUGGGGCCCUGAGCCUAUCCAUUGUCAUUUGCAAGAUAUUUCAUGGUGGCAGCAAUUACUGUAAUCUGUCCCUUCGGUAGGAGGCUUGAAGCCCACUCUUUCCAUUGGCAUGGCUGAUCUAACUGCAGAAUAAGUCACGUGCUAACAGCUGGACUAAAAACCGCCCACAGAUGUUGCUUAAUAGGAGCCUGAGUAAGUCCACCCACUGAUGGUACAUUUAGUCCUCCUAGAACAGGCAGGUGUAUAAUCUAGGAAAUUUUCCAGUUCAGCCCUUGGAGACAUGAAUCAUUAAUGCUAAGUGCAAAGAAACAAGGUCCUUUUUACCCAUGGGGGGGAAAGAAAAAAACCAUAAACACCGAAAAAAAUGAGGUAGGACAUCUGGGAGGAAGCAACCAGUUUUUCUUUAUGCCAAAGCUAGCUGUUGGCUUUCAGUAUAAGAAAUAACACAGUGGUCUCUCCCCAUACUCUGAAAUUUUUUCGUGUGUUACUGAGAGCAUUCACAAUGCUAGUAGGCUGGGGUCAGAGGCAUCAGGCUGUGAAUCAGCUGAAAUAGUCAUGGACUUCUGCUGCUGGUGGCUCUGGGAAGCGUGCUUACAUGGCUCACUUCUGUAGCUGAACUGCUCUAGUUUUCCUUCAGGGCAACAAGCUCACGGACUCACCUGGGCUCUGUGUGGCUCUGAGGAGUGCUUGCACCCAUGGAGGGUCCCUGCUUGGACUCUUUGCCUUCCUAUCACAGUGAAACAGCCCUGGAUUUCCAUGCCAUGAGGGCUGCAGGAGCACGGCACUCAGGAUAGGUGAAUUUAGUUGAAAGUGUGGCCUGGGCAUCAUCCUUACUACGCGAAACAAAAAGAGGUCCAUUGGCGUAUUUUCAGGAAAUAAGAGGCUUCUAGGACAGAGCCCAAAAAAGGCAUUCACACAUGAAAUCCUGUGUAUUUCCAUAGCACUGACAUAGUGCUAUGAAUGGCUAAUGUAAAUAAUAGCCUGAGAAAAAAGUAAAACCUACUUUUAUCCUCUUCAGCAGUUUUUCUCAUUGUCUUCCUGGACCUUUUCCAAAAUUGUAGUAUUUUGUAAAGUUAGGCUGGCUCAAGCCUCAAACAAGCUGCUUGGCAAUGGGGAGAAGGGAAGAGAGUCCUGGAACAGCCAUCCCUAACCUCAGCUUUGAGUGAGGACUUUCAUGGCCAUUAGCACAAGGACACUUCGGGUGACCUCAGUGAACCAGAUUCUUUUGCCCAUUGCAAACUGAAAUUUUAUCCUCUAUAUCCAGCAGUUUAGUUUUGCUCUAAACUGUCUAAGCCUGUGGCUCCAGACCUAUAGAUCUUCACUUCAAUUCUCUCUCACUUUGUAUUUUGUUCUUACUCAAAAAAAAAGUAUUUAUUCUUACUUAAAAAAAUUAAUAACUUCAUUUAAAGAAAGAAACGGUAAGAAAAGGGUUUUUCAGUUUUGAGCACUGUGAUUUACAAGAGAGAUGACAGGGUGUGGAGCUGCUGCCUGGUCCCUGCAAGGUAUGUAUAAUGCAAUUAGUCACAGGGCAACAUAAAUAGACACUUCUGAAUUGUAAGCACUUCUGUGACUAGCAGACAUGCUGCUGCCUCAUCUGGGAAAAGUACACUUUUUCUGGCAUUUACAAAACAGCUGGCAACACCUCUAGAAAGUUUUCUGCUUUUGCCCAGAGCUCUUAGUUACGGAGCCAUGAGUUUCAUGUGGUGUUAAUCAAGAGCUGAGUUAGCCAUACAUUUUGAUGUGACUAUUGACUUCUUAAGGACAUUAGUUGUGUUUCAGUUUCUUAUCUAUUUUUUUGGACUGAAUAUCCUUGCCCUGGAAAAACUGAAAACAAAAAUCUCUUGUUACAUUUUUAAAGCCAAAAUCAAAAUCCUCUUGGGAAUGAAUUGUUUUCAGUUCUCUCGGUUUGGUAAACUGCUUUGGAAGGUUUGCUCAACAACUUCUGACUGUUUGUCAAACAAAUGGGAGAAUAUUAACUCCUGCCUUGAGACAUUUUUGGGACUUGGCAUAGGGUUUCUGGGAAAUAUCCCAAAAGAACCAACAGCAGUUGAUUGAAAGCAGAAUUACGUUACAUUACAUUGGGAAAAAAAAUCACCAAAAAUAUUAUUUUUAUAUUACAUCUACAAGUAAACUUCAUUCACCAAAGACAUCACUGGGGUGGGGAAAGAGGAAGAGUUCUCAUUGACCAUACAUUCCCACAGCAAGAAUUACAUUUACUGUGACAUAAAAUAAUCAUUUGGAUGAGAUACAAAACCAGAAGGAAAUAUAAAGAUGAGCCAGAGCAGACCUAGGUGGGUCAACUACUACUCAUAUGCCUGUUGCAUCCUUCCUUGGGCAUUACAAAUGAGGUAGCUUUUACCCAGUCCUUUGAAGUCCUUAGAAUGAAAAUGCACAGCUCUGAAGAAGAACAUAUGAAGGGUGAAAUACACAAGCUGUUUUAGAUGUGUAUGUAUAUACUGACAGAUGGUAUUAUACCAAAAGCAAUGACCAAUUUGCUAUUCUGUUGUUGAAAACCCAAACUAACAAUCUGAAUGUGUAGGGAGUCAAGUUUCCUUUUGAAAUAUAUGAAUUGCUCUUAAUCAUGACAUUAUAAAAUAAUAAACACUUUCCCUUUAAAUGGCUUUGACACAGCUAAAAUCAAGCCUAUUUUAUCAGAAGAAUCCCUCAGGACCACAGAUUAUAUAGAGUAGUUUUGCUUCAAAUUCUUAUGCUUUUUCCACUGGGAAGCAUUUUAAUUUGUAGUUUUCUGACACUGUCUUCUAAACAGUUUGUCCCCAGCACAAUACAUGAAUUCUACGUGCCAUGUUUCAUUGGCACAUUAGCAAGGACACAGAAAAACUGCAUCAACAUAUCAUAAAAAAUGCAAAAGCAUUGAACACUUAUUUACAGCUCAAGCUGUUCCAAACAACUCAGUAGCUGAAAUGGCUGAAGACCUACUAUUUCUAGGCUCACUGUCUAAAUCACACCUAAUUUUCUGCGAUCUAUUGCUAUCAGUAGUGGGGAAAUCAGAGGAAGAUGAAAUGAGCAAUCCACUGUUGGCAGUGAUGUACGUGAGAGUGUCUGAUUCAGAGCAGACACUGAUAUUUCAUCUAGCAGAGACAGUUCAUAAAGUCACGUGCCUUGAGGUGUAGCAUGAACAAGUGUGUGGCUGGGCUCCUCUUGACAUUAGCAAUAGACUUCCUCAGGCUAGCCAAGUCAUUUGCAAAGCUGCUCAAAGGCUGUCCAUGUUUACAAGAUUAGUUCUGAGCAGGACUGUGCUCUAACAUUGCCUUUUACCAGACAGAGAAGAAUGCAAGUUUAGGGUCAUUGUCUCCUCAGUUUUCUUUGGGACACCUGUUCCACAGAAGCUUCCUUUCAGGGACAGGACUGAUAGCAUGGAAAACAUACAUCAUACCUCAGAUGUGCCUCAAAGCAUGUGCUGGAUGGGAGGAGUCACUUCCAAGUAUGAGGAGGAAUAUUUUUUCCAGGACCCAUUCCAGGUUGCAAUGAUGGGUUUUCUAGUGGGUGUUGUUUAAUGUCUUCGUAUGGACUGAGAAGCUCAAAUCCCACCACAAUUCAGAGUCAAGCACAUGACUGAGUCUGUGGCUUAGUUGAUUUACUGCCUUCAGCAGAUCAGUGGCAGGCUCAUUUCAAAAAAAAAAAAAAAAAAAAGUUUAAGGUAGUUUUAAGGUUUAAACCUUUUUAAAACUGAGUCUACUUUUCUGAUAAAUAACUUUAUAGAAAGGAAGAAGUGUCAGUCCUAAAUGCAUAGAAGGGAGAUGGGACCUUCACUAGAAUAUCCUAAAGAUCUUUGCAUUGUAACAGUUAACCGGAGUGGUACGUUCAUAUCCCGUUAUGAAGCUGGUUUUUUUUAGGGGGGAAGAGGAUGUAUGGCAGGGUCUUGCUGCUGACUUGGCAUGGGGCUGGGAGAGGAAUUUAGCUGGGAUUUCUGGGACAGCCAGCCUCUACUCAGCUGGAUCCAGAUCUGUCCCUUGUCUCCGCUCAAGCAACAGCCCAGGGUGAACAGGGGACGCCAAAGGAGCCUUUGUUUUAUAGUCCUUUGCCUUUUUGCUCCUAGAGCUUUUUUUUAUUAUUACUAUAUUUUUUUUUCCUGCAUGUCCUCUAUUAUUUCAGAAGCUUUCCAGUCUUGAAAACUUUUUUUUUUUUUUUGUAUUUUUCUAGCUUUUAGAAUCUGGAUCUUGAUUGCCUUAUAUCAUGGCUUCCUUGCAGUUCCUAAACAUUCUCCCCCCCCAAAAAAAAACACUAAAGUUGGUGUCUGAGCCUAUAAGGAAGUGUUAUAGAAUAUUUUUAUAUAAGACAGAUUAAUGAUUUUGAAAGACGAUGCAUUUGUCAUAAGGCAGAAUUUUGGCAGAAAACUGAGCUUCAGUGAACAGCUGUUUUCUAUCUUGUCAUGCAUCUUCGAAGAUCUAACCUGAAUUUUCUCCUGAAUUUGAACUUUAACAAAAUCACGACUCAAUGCUAUAAAAAAAACCAAACAAAACAACACACACAAAAUGCACAUACACAAAACUUCCAUAGAUUUAAAAAGUAUGAAUUCUAAUAGGAAAAUAUUUUUAAAUUUCAUUCCCUAUACUUUUGUCUGUGACCUCCUAAAUUGCAAUUUUUGCUUGGUGGCGCUAACGUAAUCACAUAGAGAGGUUUCUGCAUUACAAUUGAUCACCCUGGAAUUUAGAGUCAAAUUGAAACUGUGAAAUCUAGAAGAGAAAUCUUUAUGUAGUAUUUCUGGAGGUCACACACUGGGAUUUCUUUUUUCUUUAAACAAAUCAAAUUUCAGUGUUGGUAUCCUACAUCAAUUACAAGAGGUUUCUGAAACAACAUUUUAUUCUGUGUAAGGUACAGGCAAAGAAACACUUCCAAUGAUACAGCAGCAGCAAGAGAUAACUGUACAUUCUUUAUCACUCUGUCAUUUUAUUUCAGAGUAAAAGUCUAAUAAACUACCCAAAGUGGUUGCUUGAAGCCUGUCCCUUGGGAGCCUUGCCAGGAUGGCAAUCUGCUUGCUCACUCUGAAGCACAGGCAGAGCAGGAAUUCUUUCCUUUAAUGACACCAGUUCUGCGAAUUGCAGCGUGUGAACUCAGCUUGACCCUGAGCGACAGACUUUCCUAAAAAUGACUCUUAGGUAAUGUGGCCAAUUCAAGGUUGUUCCUUUUGGCAUAUUCUGUGCUCUUUGCUUAUCUCUAGAAUGAAGCUGAACAGUAAUCCAUUAUGCUUCUCUCUGCUGAGCUCAGUGGGUAUCAUUUGCAACUGUAGGGAGGAGAAAAAAAUGAGCACAGAAAGAAAAAGUCUGGAGCAGGAAACAAUGGUGUUGUUUUGGGGAACAAUUAAAACCUAAUGCAUGAGGCUAUUGCUCUUCAGAAAAAAAAAGCAUGAAACAGACUGGGAGAUCUGUCUGAGAAAAUCUCUAUUUCAACAGCCAGCUUGGGGCUUGUGCUAGUGAUCACGUAUACCAGAAAGGUGAUGUGUUUCAUGCUGAGCUUCCAGGUAUUUGCUUUUAUAAUGCAACAUCCUGAAAGAUGAGCAGGCUGGACCAGAGUGAAGAGGGAGAGGGAACAGAAUGACAGCAUUCACCUUCUGGUGAACAAGGUAGUCGUGAACUUGGGCUGCGAGAGCCCCUCUAGAGAGCUGUGGUGGAGCCCAGGGUUGAGGCAAGGAGGAUGCGGCAGCCUCCCCAGGGUUACUCUCAGGGAGCCAAGGGGGAGAAGCUGACGCUUUCUAUUUCAGCUGCCAUGACAGGCUUUGAACAGACAGACAGGGAGGAAAAACUGCCCCGCAUUCAAAUGUGGAAAGUCCCCAGUGUCCCAGAGUGUGUCAGAAGGUAGUUCCUAGAGAACACAAGGGGCAGGGGGGUCCUUCUCACCCCAGUUCUCCUCAAGAAGCACAGCAGCAAAAGCCAGAGAGUUUCUGUGCUCCCUGCACUGCUGUCAGUAUUUGCAUGCUUUCCUUCCCCUCCACCAUGAGAUCAAGACCUAUUACCAAUGUGUGAUCCUCUGGAAGUCAGGAGAGCAAGAGCAGCUGGAUCAGCAGGAGCAGUCUUUCCCUCCAACUGGUCUGUAAGCAGGCAAACUGCAAGAGGCUGACAUACUACAGGGUACCUUGCCCAAGGGAAAGUUUGUUCUUUGUUCCCUUUUAGCCAAAUUAGUUUUUAUUCCUAAAAGACAUAGAUUCCUCUCUCUUUUAAAAUCUCUUUAAAAGAAACGAGGCCCUUGCAGUCAUGUUUUAGGUGUGAAAGCUGGUGACUGUGCUUUAUUUAACGGAUGUGUACAUGUACUUCUUUGUCUGUAGGCUGUGGAUUUGCUACAGAGACUGAGAGCUGUGGGGGUCACACAGUGACUGUAUAUUAACAAAGGCUGUUGAGAGUUUCUGAGAUUAAAGUCUCAAGAGUAAUCAGUGUGCUGGUCAACGUGCUGAUCUCCAUGUGUCCAGCUUUGUUAUGUACCACCUGUGAAAUGGGAAACCAGGAUCCUACAGUAAUUAUGACUGUUAUUCAGGGAAAUGGUUAGAAAUUAAAGGUCAUCUAGGAAACCAAAACCAAAAAAAAUCAGCCUCAGAAAGAAAAGACACUGAUGAAAACAUCUUUCUAGGUCUAGGAAGUUGAAAAAACAACAAUGCUAACUUUAAUCUCCACAGAAACUUGACACAGGGGUUGCAAUGUAUUUUGUGACUUUUCUGGACUUUCCUGCUUGUUCCCAGCACAGAAAACAAAUGUAAAUCACUCUGGGGACAAGUAACCGUCAAAGGCUCCAUUCCUUUCAUUCCCUUUCUUGCCAUUUCUCUUUCAAACCCCAAUACUUGCUUUGCAGAGUUUAUUAUUAGCAGCUGUGCCUGAAACUGGGGAGAGUGUUGUAAGAGGAGAGCUAUAUAUAUAUUUUUGCUUCAGAUAAAACAGUGUCUCUUUCUUGGCAUUGAGUGUCUUGGAGCAACUUCAUUGUUUGGCUGCAUGGUGUGGGAGUGAAAAGGAGAAGGUAAUCUCUGAAAAAUCACCUUGAACAACCCAUUUAACUCCUAGGCUGCUCUGCAGUCAUCUCUGCAUCUGUCCAGCACCCCUCAGAGCUCUGUUGCCAAUUUAUAGAGGAGGCAGCAGUCAAUACAGAUGUUUACACUACGUAUUCUUAUAUCUAUCUCAUAUUCAUAUAUAGAAAUGUCUAGAUAUGGGUUUGGAAAUGUCCCUGUGCCACUAUCUGUAGGCAUCAUUCUUCACUUACAGAGUAGUAAAGAAAGAAUAAUACUGAGAUGGUUAUAAUGCCUCUUCUCUUAUUUAAUAUGCUGGGUGCAAUGGUCUCUAUUACAUUCCUAUAAAUUAUUAACUCUUUUUUCUACAUAAAAAAGUUUAAUCUUUACAACUUCCUAACAGAUAUUAAGACAUGAUAAAAUGAAGAUGGCUUCACACUACAAUUCAUUAGGACUUCUCUUUUAAGAACAAAGUGGAGCAAUGUAGUAUUAGUGUUGAUUUUAUCAACUGCUGUCUUCUCUAAGGGAAAAAGUCCCUGAAGAUUUAAGAGAGUGUUUUUUGUGUGGCAAGCUCUGGGGAGUCAUGCUGCCUGUAUUUAAGGUCUCUAGAGGUCCAAGUCCCUCAAGACUGCAUGGAGGACAGUCCCAGACUGAGAGUCACAGUGAUUCCAUACCAUAAGAAAUUAUGCUGCAAGAAGAGGAAUAAAUGUAACCACAAUGCCCAUUUUAUGGCUUGCUCUGGAGCCCAUUAGAUAAAAUGAUCUUUGGACUAGUUCCUCAUCCAGACUUCCUUUAGCAGGAUUACUAUUGCACAUCAUGCAAGUGUUUGUAUUUCUCUCUUUCUUCUAAUCAAGAAUUAAGCUUACAAACCAGAAUUUAGUAGGAUUUUGGGCAACAUGAUCCAUCCUAAGCAGCAUGUCUUUACACAAGGAAGUUUCAAAUACUACUUUACUACUUUCAGCCACAAAAAUAAUAACUAAAAAAAAUAGCUCCAGCCCUGUUUUUGUGUGUGGCCCACCAGUGUCAUGGCAGAACAUGGAGGCAGGAAUGAACAGAGUGCAUAUCAGUGUUAGGCACGUUAUAUAGAGCUGGUGUAUGAUUGCUGGUGGAGAAAGAAAGUCAAAUAUGGCAUUCAUUACCUCAUUCACAGCCUGAUAAAUCAGUCUCUGUCUUUAUCCUCAACUAUUUGGCUUUUGCCACCCCCAGUCCUCAUGACUUCAUCUUCAUAAUGAAUAAUUCAAUAAAUAUUUUAAAAACUCCGGCUAUUAUUGACUGUUUAAAUCUUCCUACUUUAUGGUUUGUGGGGUUUUCAGGAAUUGCUGACUGUCAGUUCUCUGUAGUAAUUACAGGUUUCAUAUAGGGCACAGGGAAGAAAAUAAUGUUUCUUGGUAUAGCAAACAAACAAUUCAUUGAAACUGGUGUAACUGACAGACUGCAAAAAAUAUAAUUUAUAUAUAAAUACAUAUAUAAUAUAACAGCAGUGGGUAGGAAAGGAGAAGAGACUAGUGAGUUCUUGAGGGACAGAAGCAGCAGAAAGAAUGUAAAAGAAGAGGAAUGCCAAAAGAAUGUCAUUAUUGGCAUUCAGUGGUGGAGAGAUUGAGUGAGAGGCAUUGAGGUAGACAUGAAGGAAUAUGAGGAUGGAGCAGCUAUUGUUGGUACAGAUUUGUGCAAAAAGAGAGAAAUGCCAGGAAGGCUGGGAGGUGAACAAGGGCAAGAAGGCAGGGUUUGAAUUUUAGCUUCAGGGAAUAAGCAGUCAAAAUGAGAUAUUCAUGCUAUGACUGAGGAAAAAAUAUCAACAGAGCAGGGGAGUAUAAAGGACAAGCAAGAGAGCAGUUCUGAAACAAAGCAGUAUUGAAGUUCACCUUGCCAUCACCUAAAACAUUUUUGCCCUUCUCUUAUUGCAGGCAAAUCAGGAAAAUGAAGUGGUUGCCUCAGACCAACACUAUGCAUAAAGGAGAGUGACGCUGCAUCCCCUCAGUGCCUGCAGCAUCCCAAGGCACAGGACAAUGUAAAAAGACCUUAUGUAGCACUGUGUAACACUCCAGUGUUCAUGAGUCUUGAGACUUCUGCUGUAGUCCUGUGAAAUGCUCUUGCUUUCCUUGCCCACUUCCUCAUUACAUAGCUUUGAGCAAAAGGAAUCAACUUUCUGUUUACAUAGCUAGUAAAGAUGGUUUCUAAAUAGUUUCCAAUGCCUGAUAGAUUUGUCAUUUCAAGGACAUCACAAUGCGCUGUUCCAAAAGUAACAAGCAAUUUAAAAGACAGAAAGGAACUUGGGAAUAGGUCCCUUUCCAAGAAACUUGCUAGGGCAUUGCACAUUUUCCUAGUUAAUAAUAACCUUCGCCAUUCUCUACAGUGGUAAGGGAUUGUUCUAUGGGAACAGAAGAUAGGUUAGGAUUGGAACUGUUCAGAAAAAAAAAAAAAAGAAGAAAGAAAGUGUAGAUGUUUCCUCCUCUUAUUUUCUUGUUCCUCUCUAUUUGACUUUCAUUUGUGUAAAUAUUGGUUAAACUGAAUGGCAGAUAGAAAGGUUUCUCAUUGUUGUGCCAGGAGAUAUCGAUGAAUUUCUAAUGCUAUCUUAUAUGUAUCCUUCAAGUGCGGUGAAUGUGCCACUUAUUUCCCAUUAUGUAAUGGGAUAUUUUUAUAUUAAAAAUGUUUUAAAAUAGUGUUUUUACUUUUUAAAGAUAAUUUGUAAAAGCCAAGAUAAAUUGAAAAGAAAAUAUUGCAAGAAAAUCCUGAAAGAGGAUAUAUGGAACAGUACAAAGAAAAAGAGAAGGAUGAUCACAGAUAUCAAAUGGUUUCUGUAUACAGAGAUAUUAAAUAGACUUGAUCUCUUCAGCUGGAGAAAAAAGCUACUUUUACUCCAGGCUGAAGGCAAAGCAAAAGGAGAGAUGCUCUUGAUGUAAAUUGAACAGGUUUGGUGGAAGAAAGUUUUAACUACAACUAUUAAACAUGACAGAACAAACGAAUCUUCCAAUACAGAAAGUCUCCAAGUCUACAUGGGAAACUGAAACAAUAUACUAUUGGAAAGAUGUCCCUACACAUUUCUUGUCUGCUUCCUCCCUAGGUUUCUGCUCCCUACUACACCUACAGGACUCUGACUGGAGUGACUCUUGAUCUGAUAGGGUACAGGUGCUGUUACAGUCCUCAACUUUUCAUCUCACCCACAUUCCUCCUCCAUGCAACACCACUCUCUGGAAGUUAGAACACAAACAAUGGAGUUAAAGCAGAUUACAUGUGUGAAAAUGAAGGGAAACAGCACAUUUUUCUGGGAUUUGCAGAUGCUGUGACAGGCUGCCUUAGUUAGGAAACGUCAGAAGUGUAAUCGUAUUAAUAGAAUCAUUUUCUUAUGCAUGUGGAAAUGGAGAUGAUGUAUCAUUUACAAGUGAAUGAAGACUCAGUGUUGGUAACUGCUGGACUGCAUAAUAUGGCCACAAAAUGCUUCCAUAAUAAUGAGUCCAGGAAAUUAUUGCACAGCUGUAACACAAGUGUAGAGGAGAUUAGUAGAGACUUUCAAUGGAUUUUUAGGUUCUCCCUUUUUAAAAAUACCUUUCAUCCUCAAUGCAGCCUGAUUGCGUAUGGUAGCCGGCAUGAAGGCAAGCAGCAACUGCAGCAAAGUUUUGCAGAGAAAACGUGAACAUAUGUGGAUGUGCUGACAUUGUAGCUCCAGGAUGUAAAGAACUUCCAGAAGUUAAAUUGUAUGAAGAAUGACAGGAUCAUCAUGAUUUAGGCUUUACUCAAACAGAGUAGGAAAUCUUCAGAAGAAAUUAUUUUCUCCCUGACCUAUUUACUACAAUAUUUUUCUAAUUCCCUUGGCUGUUGCAAUUAGAGUUUGAUUAUAAGCAGACACAAUGAGUCUGUGCAGUCAUUUAUUCUGCUGUGAUGGCUUGUGCUGUGUUUCUCUUACCUUCAGGUGGAGAAGCUAGCAGAAGGAAGCAGAUGGCCUGGGACACCAGUCCCAGAUGACUGGGAAAAUGACACUGGGAAGGGAUAUGGCAGGUAGAUCUGCUUUUAUCUAGAAAAUUUUAUUUCCCUGCUUACUCAAAGCAAAAAAAUUACUUCCCAAGACACAUUUUCAUUCAUAUGCAGUCUCCCCCCACCAAAUAACUGAACUCUGGUCCAGGCUGAAGCAGUAGGUCCUCGGAGCCUUGUGAACUCUCUGGAAUUUAUUCUUAGAUGUUUACAAGGACAGGAGACAUGUUAAUAGGAGAGGCACACAAGAUCCCAUGUGAUGUGUACAGGAAGAAGAAAAGAGGGUGUCAUUAUGAAGAGGUCCAAGUUUUCAUAUGCAUUAUGACCAGCUCUUCUAACCUACCAACACACGAGUAAAACCCAUAUAAAAAUUCCACAAUACAGCUUUAGUGAUAGGAUCUAUACUACUUUGGUCAUAUCCUCAGCUGAUAUUAAUGAAACCUGAAUAGAGGAUAUACUCCAGCUGUGCAGAUUUACUCUGGUGGAAGAUUCAGGCCUCCGUUUUUUGCUUGGCUUUGGGUUAUGACAUGUUAGAUUUAUUGCCUCAUUUGCUACAGUAAAUGAGAGUCUCUGGGCUGAGACACAUUCGAUAGCAGCGUGGUGAAUGGACUGGCUGAGGAGCAGGACAGGAAUAAAGAGAGAACAUUUGUUCUGAAAUACAGAACCCAGUCCUGAUUUCUCUCCUAGUCCAUCAUUACUGCUUUCCACAUUGAGUGAAGAUAAUCUGCUUUGAGACUUGAAAUGAGCAAAGGCAUUUUUUUCCUAAAUGAAAAGUGUUGUAGUGAAACAGAUUUGACAGUCCAUAGAAUUCACUAUAGAUCUUUGUUGAAGUGGAAAGGGAUUACCUAAUUUCUGUGCUAAGAACUGAUGUUUAAAGUGUGCAAUGGAAUACACAGAUAGUUGUAUAGGGCACGACAGUGUUUUGUUUUACGCUUACCUACUGUCUUGUAUGGAGAUCGCCAGACAUCAGCUGGCAAUCAUGAGAAUUUGGGGAACUUGUGCCAGAGAGUGUAGGCUCCUGAAAUAACAGUAAAACCAUACUUAUGAUUGUAAGUACGUGAUAAAUGAGUAAAUAUAGACAGAUGAGACAUGA
Anas platyrhynchos (mallard) is the source of this 19786-nucleotide non-coding RNA. The record is from RefSeq and is a predicted model, not a curated record. Lineage: Eukaryota; Metazoa; Chordata; Aves; Anseriformes; Anatidae.